RNAcentral lists this transfer RNA (64 nucleotides) under Dipodomys ordii (Ord's kangaroo rat). It matches the Rfam family "tRNA". Rfam says of the family: Transfer RNA (tRNA) molecules are approximately 80 nucleotides in length. Their secondary structure includes four short double-helical elements and three loops (D, anti-codon, and T loops). The record is from Rfam by way of RNAcentral. Lineage: Eukaryota; Metazoa; Chordata; Mammalia; Rodentia; Heteromyidae.
GGUGGCUCAGUGGUAGAGUGCUUGCCUUGCAUGUAUGAGUCCCUGGGUUCGAUCCUCAACACCA